This 492-nucleotide ribosomal RNA is filed under the name uncultured bacterium. RNAcentral describes it as "partial 16S ribosomal RNA". It matches the Rfam family "Bacterial small subunit ribosomal RNA", at positions 29 to 507 of the family's 1533-position model. The record is from RNAcentral.
AGUGAACGCUGGCGGUAGGCCUAACACAUGCAAGUCGAACGGCAGCACAGUAAGAGCUUGCUCUUACGGGUGGCGAGUGUCGGACGGGUGAGGAAUACAUCGGAAUCUACUUUUUCGUGGGGGAUAACGUAGGGAAACUUACGCUAAUACCGCAUACGACCUACUGGUGAAAGCAGGGGAUCUUCGGACCUUGCGCGAUUGAAUGAGCCGAUGUCGGAUUAGCUAGUUGGCGGGGUAAAGGCCCACCAAGGCGACGAUCCGUAGCUGGUCUGAGAGGAUGAUCAGCCACACUGGAACUGAGACACGGUCCAGACUCCGACGGGAGGCAGCAGUGGGGAAUAUUGGACAAUGGGGGCAAGCCUGAUCCAGCCAUACCGCGUGGGUGAAGAAGGCCUUCGGGUUGUAAAGCCCUUUUGUUGGGAAAGAAAAGCAGCAGGUUAAUACCCCGCUGUUCUGACGGUACCCAAAGAAUAAGCACCGGCUAACUUCGUG